UAUAAAAGCACCCUAGAGAUCUGUAAUAUGCUAACAUUAACUGAAAAGCUUUUCUAGUAAUUAUGUUAUCAGCAUCUUAAUUACAUGACUGAUUUUCAAAAAUGUAAAUAAAUGUCAGAUGUAAUCAUUUAGCAUGAAUAAUGAUGAUUUGAUUUGAAGACUGAGCCUAGGUUUACUUUCUAAUUUCAGAUGCAUGGUAAAGCUUCUUAAAGGCAGCAUUCAAAUUCCUUUUCUGUUGGUCCUUUUAAAAUACAUGGUCAAUAUUGAGUGAAUCCAAAGAAAUGGAAGUACAGUUUCAGUGCAGGCCACAGUGAAGAAAUCUAACAACUGGAAAGAUUUAUAAAUUAUAGACUGGAAGAAGAGUGAGGAGGAACAUAAAAGGAGUGCAUUCAUAGAGAACAACCCCUGGAAGGGGACAAGCAAGAGAAAUUCAGCCCAGUUGGUUGAAUCAGCCUGUGCAGAGGCACAGGGAACUUGGAAGCAGCUUUGGAGUGAGCGAUAAAUCUGGGGAGGAGAAUCAGUCACUUACCUGCACCGUUGCAAAAGAGAAGUGAAACUACUCUAUGUGCUAGGGGAGAAGAAUGCCUCAACAUUGACAACAGGACUCGAGGAGAAAAAGAAGAGAAGAGAGACAACUAAAGAAGGUGAGUUUGGCUGAGAGCCACUCACUAGACUGACAGACUGUAAAGUGGACAUUGCUGACCUGUGUUCGAUUGUGAUUGCUUUAUGUUAAUUUUCUUUGAGUACGAAGUCAUUCCCCUUAGGGAAUAGAAUUAUAAGAACUACAGUGAU
Alligator mississippiensis (American alligator) is the source of this 792-nucleotide long non-coding RNA. RefSeq lists it as uncharacterized. The transcript is spliced from 2 exons. Lineage: Eukaryota; Metazoa; Chordata; Crocodylia; Alligatoridae. The record is from RefSeq and is a predicted model, not a curated record.